Molecule: ribosomal RNA, 350 nt
Filed under: uncultured bacterium
Lineage: Bacteria
Description: bacterial SSU rRNA
Rfam family: Bacterial small subunit ribosomal RNA
Source: RNAcentral
AGAGUUUGAUCAUGGCUCAGGACGAACGCUGGCGGCGCGCCUAACACAUGCAAGUCGAACGAGAGAGAGGGAGCUUGCUUCCUCAAUCGAGUGGCGAACGGGUGAGUAACGCGUGAGGAACCUGCCUCAAAGAGGGGGACAACAGUUGGAAACGACUGCUAAUACCGCAUAAGCCCACAGGUCGGCAUCGACCAGAGGGAAAAGGAGUAAUCCGCUUUGAGAUGGCCUCGCGUCCGAUUAGCUAGUUGGUGAGGUAACGGCCCACCAAGGCGACGAUCGGUAGCCGGACUGAGAGGUUGAACGGCCACAUUGGGACUGAGACACGGCCCAGACUCCUACGGGAGGCAGCA